GACGAACGCUGGCGGCGUGCUUAACACAUGCAAGUCGAACGGAAAGGCCCUGCUUGCGGGGUACUCGAGUGGCGAACGGGUGAGUAACACGUGGGUGAUCUGCCCUGCACUUCGGGAUAAGCCUGGGAAACUGGGUCUAAUACCGGAUAGGAGCCAUUUUUAGUGUGAUGGUUGGAAAGUUUUUUCGGUGUAGGACGAGCUCGCGGCCUAUCAGCUUGUUGGUGGGGUAAUGGCCUACCAAGGCGGCGACGGGUAGCCGGCCUGAGAGGGUGGACGGCCACAUUGGGACUGAGAUACGGCCCAGACUCCUACGGGAGGCAGCAGUGGGGAAUAUUGCACAAUGGGCGCAAGCCUGAUGCAGCGACGCCGCGUGGGGGAUGACGGCCUUCGGGUUGUAAACUCCUUUCGCUAGGGACGAAGCUUUUUGUGACGGUACCUAGAUAAGAAGCACCGGCUAACUACGUG
This 465-nucleotide ribosomal RNA is filed under the name uncultured bacterium. Its description in RNAcentral is "partial 16S ribosomal RNA". It matches the Rfam family "Bacterial small subunit ribosomal RNA", at positions 28 to 507 of the family's 1533-position model. The record is from RNAcentral.